This 1305-nucleotide ribosomal RNA is filed under the name uncultured archaeon. Its description in RNAcentral is "16S ribosomal RNA". It matches the Rfam family "Archaeal small subunit ribosomal RNA", at positions 138 to 1427 of the family's 1478-position model. The record is from RNAcentral.
AACUGGGGUUAAUUCCCGAUGGGUGAGGAGGCCUGGAAUGGUUCUUCACUGAAAGGGCGCUAGAGGCAUGCUCUCUAACGUCGCCCAAGGAUGGGGCCGCGGCCGAUCAGGUUGUUGGUGAGGUAACGGCUUACCAAGCCUAUAACCGGUACGGGCCGUGAGAGCGGAAGCCCGGAGACGGGCACUGAGAUAAGGGCCCAGGCCCUACGGGGCGCAGCAGUUGCGAAAACUCCGCAAUGCACGAAAGUGUGACGGGGCUACCCCGAGUGCCGUCCGCUGAGGAUGGCUUUUCUCCGCUGUAAGGAGGCGGAGGAAUAAGGAGAGGGCAAGACUGGUGUCAGCCGCCGCGGUAAUACCAGCUCUCCGAGUGGUAGGGGUGAUUAUUGGGCUUAAAGCGUCNGUAGCCGGCCUGGCAAGUCUNCCGUUAAAUCCAGCAANCUAAUUGUUGGGCUGCGGGGGAUACUGUUAGGCUUGGGGGCGGGAGAGGCCGACGGUAUUCUCGGGGUAGGGGUGAAAUCUUAUAAUCCCGAGAGGACCACCAGUGGCGAAGGCUGUCGGCUAGCACGCGCCUGACGGUGAGGGACGAAAGCUGGGGGAGCGAACCGGAUUAGAUACCCGGGUAGUCCCUGCUGUAAACGAUGCGAGCUAGGUGUUGGGGCGGCUACGAGCCGCUUCAGUGCCGCAGCGAAGGCGUUAAGCUCGCCGCCUGGGGAGUACGGCCGCAAGGCUGAAACUUAAAGGAAUUGGCGGGGGAGCACCACAAGGCGUGAAGCUUGCGGUUCAAUUGGAGUCAACGCCGGGAACCUUACCGGGGGCGACAGCAGGAUGAAGGCCAGGUUGAUGGUCUUGCUGGACGAGCUGAGAGGAGGCGCAUGGCCGUCGUCAGUUCGUGCCGUGAGGUGUCCUCUUAAGUGAGGUAACGAUCGAGACCCGCGCCCCUUGUUGCUAACAGACUCCAUCGGGGUCUGUGCACACUAGGGGGACCGCCGUCGAUAAGACGGAGGAAGGAGCGGGCCACGGCAGGUCAGUAUGCCCCGAAUCCCCCGGGCCACACGCGAGCUGCAAUGGCAGGGACAAUGGGUGUCGACUCCGAAAGGAGGAGGUAAUCUCUAAACCCUGCCUCAGUUGGGAUCGAGGGCUGAAACCCGUCCUCGUGAAUAUGGAAUGCCUAGUAAUCGCGCGUCAUCAUCGCGCGGUGAAUACGUCCCCGCUCCUUGCACACACCGCCCGUCGUUCCAUCCGAGUGGGGUUUGGGUGAGGCGUAGUCCUUGGUGGCUGCGUCGAACUCAGGUUCCGCAAGGAGGG